This is a transfer RNA of Clohesyomyces aquaticus, 152 nucleotides long. It matches the Rfam family "tRNA". From Rfam's summary of the family: Transfer RNA (tRNA) molecules are approximately 80 nucleotides in length. Their secondary structure includes four short double-helical elements and three loops (D, anti-codon, and T loops). The record is from Rfam. NCBI's taxonomy places the organism in Eukaryota, Fungi, Ascomycota, Dothideomycetes, Pleosporales, Lindgomycetaceae.
GGUGAGAUGGCCGAGUUGGUUAUGGCGCCAGGGUGAGCAAAAUCAUGUGACUCUCAAUUUAGAUUAUGUACUAACAAUUGCACAGUUAAGGCAUACCUUAGCAUUAAUUCCUGGUCACGAAAGUGGCGUGGGUUCGAGUCCCACUCUCAUCA